AGUGGCGGACGGGUGAGUAACACGUGAGAAUCUGGCUUCAGGAUGGGGACAACAGUUGGAAACGACUGCUAAUACCCGAUAUGCCGAAAGGUGAAAGAUUUAUCGCCUGAAGAUGAGCUCGCGGCUGAUUAGCUAGUUGGUGGGGUAAGAGCCUACCAAGGCAACGAUCAGUAGCUGUUCUGAGAGGAAGAUCAGCCACACUGGGACUGAGACACGGCCCAGACUCCUACGGGACGCAGCAGUGGGGAAUUUUCCGCAAUGGGCGAAAGCCUGACGGAGCAAUACCGCGUGCGGGAGGAAGGCCCUUGGGUCGUAAACCGCUUUUCUUAGGGAAGAAACCCGACGGUACCUAAGGAAUAAGCCUCGGCUAACUCCGUGCCAGCAGCCGCGGUAAUACGGAGGAGGCAAGCGUUAUCCGGAAUUAUUGGGCGUAAAGAGUCCGUAGGUGGUUCAUCAAGUCUGCUGUUAAAGCGUGCAGCUCAACUGCAUAUAGGCAGUGGAAACUGUUGAACUAGAGUAUGGUAGGGGUAGGGGGAAUUCCCAGUGUAGCGGUGAAAUGCGUAGAGAUUGGGAAGAACACCGGUGGCGAAAGCGCCCUACUGGGCCAUAACUGACACUGAGGGACGAAAGCUAGGGUAGCGAAUGGGAUUAGAUACCCC
Molecule: ribosomal RNA, 659 nt
Filed under: uncultured bacterium
Lineage: Bacteria
Description: bacterial SSU rRNA
Rfam family: Bacterial small subunit ribosomal RNA
Source: RNAcentral